This 62-nucleotide microRNA precursor is filed under the name Ascaris suum (pig roundworm). RNAcentral's name for it is "Asu-Bantam-o1_pre stem-loop". Lineage: Eukaryota; Metazoa; Nematoda; Chromadorea; Rhabditida; Ascarididae. The record is from RNAcentral.
AGGCCUUCACUGUGAUCUGCAGAAUGCCUGUUAUACUGUCUGAGAUCAUUGUGAAAGCUAUU